Molecule: ribosomal RNA, 486 nt
Filed under: uncultured bacterium
Lineage: Bacteria
Description: partial 16S ribosomal RNA
Rfam family: Bacterial small subunit ribosomal RNA
Source: RNAcentral
AUUGAACGCUGGCGGCAUGCCUUACACAUGCAAGUCGAACCGCAGCACGGGUGCUUGCACCUGGUGGCGAGUGGCGAACGGGUGAGUAAUACAUCGGAACAUGUCCUGUAGUGGGGGAUAGCCCGGCGAAAGCCGGAUUAAUACCGCAUACGAUCUACGGAUGAAAGCGGGGGACCUUCGGGCCUCGCGCUAUCGGGUUGGCCGAUGGCUGAUUAGCUAGUUGGUGGGGUAAAGGCCUACCAAGGCGACGAUCAGUAGCUGGUCUGAGAGGACGACCAGCCACACUGGGACUGAGACACGGCCCAGACUCCUACGGGAGGCAGCAGUGGGGAAUGUUGGACAAUGGGCGAAAGCCUGAUCCAGCAAUGCCGCGUGUGUGAAGAAGGCCUUCGGGUUGUAAAGCACUUUUGUCCGGAAAGAAAUCCUUGGCCCUAAUACGGUCGGGGGAUGACGGUACCGGAAGAAUAAGCACCGGCUAACUACGUG